GGAUGCAGGUAAUUUAAUCAUAGAAACAUUUAUGGCAGCAUCGGCAUCCUCCAACACGAUUAGUAAGCAUGUCUAUUAUAGAGCACCAGAAGUUUGGCAACAACGGUCCUUUCACUCCCCUUGAAAAUAUGUAUGUACAACCCUCCGCAUAUCAUAAAUAUUCAGCAAUACAUACCAAAGCUGUAGUUGAUCUGUACAAACACAAUUUACACGGAAGGAAGAACAUUAUGUUUCCUAAGAUUUUCUUUGCAGAUAUGUGGUUCACAAUUCAGCAAGAGCAUGCCAUCACUGAUGAUGCAUGAGUACAAUGACAUGCAUUCUGUACUCAGUACCAAUGCACACACAGGAAGUGAUCAGACCCUAGAGUACUAUGCGUUUGCUUGACAACAUUAUUUGCCUCCUCUUGGGUUGGUUUGUCCUGUCAUUAUGAAAAGGAAGUUUAGGUUCUUGUAGGAAAAAUAUCUAACAUGUGGCAUACACCAACGUGUAAUCUCAAAACUGAAAAUUUGUUGGAAUUGAUCCAGUUAUUGAGCAUGCCAUGCUACAGAUAUGGAGGGAGAGAUUAACGAAUGAAUUUCUAUCCCUGAUGGUAGACAAAGCUAACUGCUCACAGAACAAUUCACACUCUGAUAUUAUGGGCAUAUACUAAAGCAUUUUGAGAAGCACAAACUUAAGCAAAGAGACCAUGAAUCUAUUUUGGUACGCUUCUUCUGUAGCUAUCACUUCAGGUAUCAAAAUGUUGAUGUGACAUCUGGUGUUCGAAGUAGAUUUGAAUGCUAGCAUACCUGAAAACUAUGCCAACAUUUUUUCUUUUGGACCUUCUUUAAGUAGGUGAGUAUUUUUCGGAUAACAACUCUGCUUUACCUCAAAAUUGAUCAACCAGUGUGCCAAUGAAUAGAGCUAUAGAAUUCAGUAAAGUAUGUACUCAUGUACUCCAGAUCCUUGCGAUUCGAACAGUGAACUUCCAACGAUAGGACUGCCUCUCACGUCCUUUCGCGGCGGGACUCCAUCGAUUAAUUCCUGCUGAUGUAAAAAGAGAAAGUGAUUAAUAUAGGAUAGUUAUAGAUUAGCCACCAAGAAAAAAGGCAAAUACAAAAGGAAAAAUAAGCUGUAAUAGUUAUCCAUUGCUUAGUCUAAAGAGAGAGCACAUGCAACAAUGCAUUUUUUAUCACUUAUAAUUGUUUCUACUAAUUUCCCUUAUCCAAAUAACCUGGCAAAUUGUACUCACAAACUAAACAUGCACAUAUUAUUGAUAGCCCAGUUCAAUUCUUUAAACAUAUGUUACCUAAACUAUUUCAAAAUCACUAGGAAACUAAGCAUAUAUGACAUGUACAGUGACUUGUAACAACAUAUGAACCAACUAUGUCACUGAUCCUGAUGCAUAUAGAUGAGUGAGUGUGAUAUGUCAUUAUAAUAUGCAACAACACUCAAGUGUGUACUGUUUUAGGCUGCAUGACAUGCUUUCAUAAAAAACAGAUCUUGCUGAUAUAAAAGAAACCCAUUGUUCAUUAUUUGCUUUAUUGGUACCAAGGAAAUGCAAGAACAUGAGUUACCGCUUCUAUUGUCUUAUUCAACCUGGGGAAAUUAUGACCACAAGCUAUGCAAUGUGUUCUUAUCUCCAUGCUAUCCCUCGCGCUUUCAGGUAGCUCAAGUCACACUCAUUGUGUCUAUCGACAGGCCCAUACCAAUAAAUUUUCAAACAUGUUUAUGAUGAAAAUACAAAUAUUUCAAAUCAAUAGAAUAGAAAAAAUAGUUACAAAUUUAUUGUUCCAUGGCAACUCCUUGUUUCUAAAUUAAGUACCGGUUCAGUUGUCUAAAGUUGACUUUCGUACUUAUCUAUAAUCAUAAGAAGUAAAACAAAGAUAUUUUUGUUUAGGACAGUCACUUAAAAUGUAAAAUACCCUAAUAAAAAAGAACUUACACCAAAGUUUAGCUGAGUGCAACUGAAAAAAUAGUGAAAUUUACUAUUUUUUUAGUGCCAGGUCGAUUGUCAUAGAUCAUAUCUGACUCAGUUAGCCGAUGAAUGGUUCAUUUCAUAAAGUCAAAAUAUAUAUACAUACUUUCAAGUGUGUAGUACUCCAUAAGUUUUUUUAAUUAACAUGCACAACGGCUAAAUGCAUAACUGAACAUACAUUAAAACCUAGAAGGUCCCUGAUGGCUGAUAUUUAGACUAAUCUACAUGGUCUGGAAGCUAAAUCACUAUGGAUAACAGAACAUCUCCAGGCAAGACCAGAGGAUCUCAGUCUAUUUCCCUAUCGGAUAAAAUCUCAAAGAGCAAGAUUAUAGCAAAAAGGAAGCGUACCAUCAUGAAGUAAUACAUGAG
This 2323-nucleotide long non-coding RNA is filed under the name Triticum aestivum (bread wheat). RNAcentral describes it as "long non-coding RNA (TAES_LNC022585)". Lineage: Eukaryota; Viridiplantae; Streptophyta; Magnoliopsida; Poales; Poaceae. The record is from RNAcentral.